AGCAAGGUGGCAGAAAAGUGCCUCAGAUUUAAGCUCUGACCAUGAAGUUUUAACUUCCCUUUCUA
This 65-nucleotide transfer RNA is filed under the name Pyganodon grandis (giant floater mussel). RNAcentral describes it as "tRNA-Leu". The record is from RNAcentral. Lineage: Eukaryota; Metazoa; Mollusca; Bivalvia; Unionida; Unionidae.